This 494-nucleotide ribosomal RNA is filed under the name uncultured bacterium. RNAcentral's name for it is "partial 16S ribosomal RNA". It matches the Rfam family "Bacterial small subunit ribosomal RNA", at positions 28 to 507 of the family's 1533-position model. The record is from RNAcentral.
GACGAACGCUGGCGGCGUGCUUAACACAUGCAAGUCGAACGGUGAAGCGCCUUCCUUUUUGGUGGGUGUGGAUGAGUGGCGAACGGGUGAGUAACACGUGAGUAACCUGCCCCCUUCUUCUGGAUAACCGCAUGAAAGUGUGGCUAAUACGGGAUAUUCUGGGUCUGUCGCAUGAUGGGUCUGGGAAAGAUAUUGUUUCGGUGGGGGAUGGGCUCGCGGCCUAUCAGCUUGUUGGUGGGGUGAUGGCCUACCAAGGCGGUGACGGGUAGCCGGCCUGAGAGGGUGGACGGUCACACUGGGACUGAGACACGGCCCAGACUCCUACGGGAGGCAGCAGUGGGGAAUAUUGCACAAUGGGCGCAAGCCUGAUGCAGCGACGCCGCGUGAGGGAUGGAGGCCUUCGGGAUGUGAACCUCUUUCGCCAGUGAAGCAGGCCUGCCUCGUUUGUGGGUGGGUUGACGGUAGCUGGAGAAGAAGCGCCGGCUAACUACGUG